RNAcentral lists this long non-coding RNA (9993 nucleotides) under Carica papaya (papaya). Its description in RNAcentral is "long non-coding RNA (CPAP_LNC012175)". Lineage: Eukaryota; Viridiplantae; Streptophyta; Magnoliopsida; Brassicales; Caricaceae. The record is from RNAcentral.
UGCUCUGGUGGUUGGACGGAUUACGCAUUCGAGUACGUGAAAAAUAACGGAAUCACCACCGAAGAAAAUUACGAAUACACAGAAAGCGACAACGGAGUUUGCAACACAGAAACUCCCGUCGUGGAGAUCAUUAAUUAUGAAGAUGUACCAAAAAAUGAUGAGAAAGCAUUACAACAAGCUGUUGCAAAUCAGCCUGUCUCAGUUGGCAUUGAUGCCUACGGAAGUGAUUUUCAGUUUUAUUCAGGUGGGAUUUUUACUGGAAGCUGUGGAAAUUCACUGACUCAUGCAGUAACAAUAGUUGGUUAUGGGAGUGAAAAUGGAAUGGAUUACUGGUUGGUUAAGAAUUCAUGGGGUGAAAAUUGGGGUGAUGCUGGCUACAUGAAAAUUCAAAGAAAUGCUGGUGUGGAAGGAGGACUCUGUGGGAUUGCAAUGGCAGCUUCUUACCCAGUUGCUUAAUUAAACUUAUAUUAUAUAUCUAUAUAUAUCUACUUGUGUUUCUUUCAAUAAAUUCUCUAUAUGUGUCUGUGUGUUUUGGCCCAUUUUUUGUUGUGAAAUUGCCAGUUUUUUUAGCUGGUAAUUUUGUUGUAAUUUUACGUCAAUGUAACUGAGGAUGAUUACGUAUUAAUGGAGUUUUAACUGUUUUAAACUUAAACUAGCAUUUUUCAUGAAUUGGCUUCAAUUUUCGAAGUUUACAUGGACUAUUGAAUAUGUAACAACUAAAUUUAUUUUGAUGAAAGCCAUAUACCAUGUAUAGAUAAACUACCAGUAUCUUUUCUUGCUUUUGAAGUUGAAUUUCUGAUUUCCCGUUGGUAGGUUUUCCACUUUCUACUUCAUUUUCUUCCCCCAUUUUGUGGGAACUAUUUGGCUCCACCGGUUAAGAACUGUGAUUCCAAUAUGCUAAUGUCUCUUAACUUGCUUUAUUAGUCGGGCUUCACAUAACUGUCGAACAUUCAGGCCUAAAACAGAGAUUUCCAUCACUAUUGUAUAUAAGAAAUCUAAGAAGGGCCUUCUGUUUUCUUAACAAUUUCUUGUUUCAUUGUUCAAUAGUCGUCGACUAGAAACAAGAAUGUGAAUGUGAUUUGUCUUUGCAGAUCAUGGUUGAUUCCGUACAUGAUCCAAAAGUUGGAAUAGUAUUUGACUCAAAGUCAUUGAUAAAUGCCUUACAAAUUUCUUUAGAAAGUUUUAAUCGUACAUGCAAAUUUCCUUUAGCAAGUAUGACGAACUUUAAGUGAAUAUCUACUCCUCAAGUUUAUUUGGUACAAUCUUUCUCAAAGGUACAAGUUAGAGGGAAUUGAUUGCCAUUUCUUAAUUCAAAAAUUGAAAGCUGGUUAUUCUAAUGAUAAUAUCCUGUAAUUUUGUUCGCAUCAAUAUUGAAAAUAUAUAAAGAUAUUUUUUGAUUUACAAGUGAGCUUUCCUAUGUAUUGUGUUGAUUGUUUUGGAACAAUUGGUUGGACAGGAAAAGGCGCAACUCCUUCAAAAUUUUAUGGGAGCUCUUAUUUAAAAUUCUACUUUUCUACUGACCGCGGAGAAAUUGGUGAAAAACUGAGAUUUCAAAUGCUGUACCAUCUUACCUUCUAUAUUUGUUGCUCAACUUCUGACUCUAAGUAAUAAAGAGGGUGUGUCGAACUUUGCAAUUUGCAGUCGUUGAGAUUAUAAAUGCAUAUAUAUAUGUAUAUCAUGACAUUAUGCAAAUUUAGUAGCAUGUAUGAACUGUUGGAGUUAGGAGGAAGAGGCUAGAGAGACUAAUGAGAAAACUUAAAUUUUUUAUAUUAUGGUUGUUCGAAAAAAGCUUCAAGUAUAUGACUAUUUAUAGACACUAUUACAACUAUUAUAAUUAAUUAUAACCACAAACAAAUAUAAUAAAUCUAAUUUAUGACCCACAAUUACUAACAAACCAAAAGAUAAAUAAAUAUUCUAAUGUAUAAAGUUCAACUACUAAGAAACUGAUUAAUUAUAUUCUGAUUUGCAAAUUAAUUCUUAAUACUCCCCCUUAAUUUGCAAAUCUCCUUUUCAAUCCAAGAUUAGCUUGUACCUUUUGAAAGACUUCAAACUUGAGCUGUUUGGUAAAAAUAUCCGCCAUUUGAUCUUCAAUCUUUACGUGCUUGAGCUCUACUUCUUUUUUAGCAAUGCAAUCUCUAAUAAAAUGAUAUUUUGUGUUUAUAUGAUGUUUCAUUCAUGAAAUACUAGGUACUUGGCUAAUGCUUGUGCGGACUUAUUGGCAAUAAAAGUUUUAGUAUCUUUGUCCUGUGUCAAAUGAAGUUCUUUAAAUAAUCUUUUAAGGCAUAUGACAUGAUAAGCACAAGAGAUUGCUACUACAUAUUUAGACUCACAAGUUGAUAGUGUAAUAAUGACUUGCUUCUUAGAACUCCAUGUAAUUGCACAAUUAUCCAUAAAGAGUACAAAACCAGUUGUACUUUUUCUAUCAUUAAUAUCUCUAAUGAAAUCACUAUCACAAAAUCUCACAAGUUUGAAAUCAUUAUAAGAUGAAUAAAAUAACUCAAAAUCAACAGCACCUUUAAGGUGACGUAGAACUCUUUUAACAAUAUUCAUGUGGGAGACAGUAUGAGGUUCCAUAAAAGGACUUAUUAGUCUAAUUGCAAAUAUAAUAUUAAACCUUGUAAAUAUCAAUUAUCUCAAACUUUUCAUAAGACUUUUAAAGAGAGUGGGAUCGACUUUUUCUCAAUUAUCAAACUUUGAUAACUUGACUCCACAUUCCAUAAGCGUAUUCACAGGAUUGCAAUUAAAUAUUUUGAAUUUCUCUAAGACUUUUCUUGCAUAGCCUUUUUGAGAAAUAAAAAUAUUAUCUUCCGUUUGCUUCACCUCAAGGCCUAAAUAGUAAGACAUGAGCCCCGUAUCAGUCAUUUCAAAUUCAAGUAACAUGUUUUUCUUGAAUUCUUUAAACAAACUUGGAUUGUUGCUUGUGAAGAUGAGAUCAUCCACAUAUAGACGCAUAAAUAGAAUAUCACCAUUAGAACGAUACUUCACAUAAAGAGCAUAAUUCAUGAAGGCAACAAAUAAAUCUAUUAUCUUCAAAAUACUUGUUUAUAUGGCUAUCCCAUACUCUUGACGCUUGUUUUAGCGUAUACAAAGCUUUCUUCAAUUUCAACACUUUAUUUUCAUGUCAUUCAACAGUGAAACCCAAUUGUUGUCCUACAUAAACCUCUUUAUUAAGGUAGCUAUUGAGAAAUGCCGAUUUUACGUCAAGUUAUAAAAUUUUCCGCUUCAUUUGAGCUAAAAUAGCUAAGAGCAAACAAAUAGUCUCCAUGCGAACAACUCGUGCAAAAACCUCAUCAUAAUCAACCCCAUGCUUCUGCUUGUAUCUUUUAGCCAUAAGUAUUUCCUUGUACAUUUUCACAUUUUGUUGAGAAUCUUUUUUAGCUUUACAGACCAUUUGACACAAAUAACUUUAUGUCCCUUAGGAAGAGUGAAUAGCUCCUAUGUGUUGUUAUUUUCUAUGGAUUUGAUCUCUUCCUCCAUGAUUGUUUCCACUUACAUCUUUGAUGGCUUCAUCAAAAUUUAUUGGUUCACUGUCAAGAAAAAGACAAAACAAAUAAUUUCAAUCAAAGUUAGUGAUGUCCUCAGUUUCAUCAUAGAGAUCUUGAAUGCUCUUUAAUUUUCAUGGCCUUUUACCUAAACUUCCUUGAGAAGUGGGUGAUGUAACAUGAGUUGGAGAAUGAGGUGGAGUUGCCUUUUGCAAUGGUACCAUGGUCCCUUGGUCUUCCUCUUCAAAGUACGGAAAGAAAUCAUAAGUAUUUUUUUCUUUCUUCUCUCAAUUCCAUGUUGCUUUUUCAUUAAAUUCAACAUCUCUACUUACCAUGAUCUUGCCAUUGCUUGAAUUAUAUAAUUUAUAGCCUUUUAAGUUUGCAUCAUACUAAUGAAAAUAUACUUGACACUUCGAUCAUUGAGCUUGAAUCUCUCUUAUUGUGGAAUAUGAGCAUAUGUAAUAUUUCUAAAAGCUCGCAAUCGUUGACAUUAGGUUUCAUUCCACUCCAUGCUUGUUAAAAAGUCAUGUCUUUCAAACUUGAUGUGGGAGACCUAUUAGAUAAAUAUACUGCACAAAAAAUUAUUUCGGCCCAAAAUUCCUUGGGCAUGUUUUUUUACUUUCAACAUGCUUCUAGCCAUAUUAAGAAUAGUUUUAUUCUUUCUCUGUAUAACUCCAUUUUUGUGUGGUGAUUUUGGAACCAUUAACAGGCGACGAAUUCCAUUAGAUUCAUAAAAAUCAUAAAAUUCUUUAGAAGUAAAUUCACCUCCUCUAUUUGUUCUCAAAAACUUUAUUUCACAACUACAAUAUUUUUUUACAAAAGCUUUGAAAUUUUUAAAAACAGAAAAAAAAUCUAAUUUUUGCUUUAAAAAAUGUAUUUAAGUCUUCCUACUAAAAUCAUCAAUAAAUAGUAGAAAUUAUUUGUUUUUACCAAAUGAGGUGGAUUGAUUGGCCCACACACAUCGGCAUGCACAAGUUGAAGUAGUUUAGUUACUCUUGUAGUAACUUCUUUUGGGAAACUCCUUCUUGAAUGCUUUCUAAAUAGACAUGCUUCAUAUAAUUGAUUAGGAUGGUUGAUUAAUGACAUCGAUUUCACUAUUUUUUCUUCUUGCAUUGCCUUGAGUGCGCCAAAGUUGAAAUGGUUAAAUCUUAUAUGUCAACAUCGUGCUUUAUCUUCCACACUAGCCUUCAAACAUCUUGCUUCAAUAGUUUUGAGAUUCAAGAUAAACAUUCUAUUAUUUGACAUAUGCACCUUAUUAAUCAAAUUAACUCUUUAAUCUCUAAACCAAAGACAUUAUCUUUCAUGUGAAUUUCAUAUCCAUUUUUAAGAAGCUGUCCCAAACUCAAAAUAUAACUCCUUAACUUUGGCACAUAGUAAACAUUAGUAAUAAGUACAUGCCCAUCAUUUUUUAAAAGAGAUUAAAAUUGUACAUUUUCCUUGAAUUUGAACUUUUGAAGAGUUUCCAAAAGAAACAUUGUCAUUAAUCUUCUCAUCAAGCUCAAUAAAUUUUUCUUUAUUGUCGUACAUGUGAUUGCUUGCUCCAUUAUCCAAGUACCAUGAAUUAUGGAUAUCACUAUCUCCCUCUUUACAUGUUAGUAAUAAAGUUGUUUCUUCCUCAUCUUGUUUAUCAUUGACAAAAUUGGCUUGUUCCUCCUUCCUGUUUGAAGUGUUACGAUAUUAUUCCUCUUUCCCAAACAUAAUGUCCAUAUAUAUGACAAUUGUAACAUUUAAUAUUUGAUUUGUUAUAAUUUCUAUAGUUAGCUCUUCCUCUUUCUCUUCCUCUUCCACGGUCUCUAUUUGACAGUUAACCUUUGUCUUUUAUUAUCAGCAUCAUCUUGUGUAACAUCCACCCCUUUUAUUUGUGAAAAAUAAAUAAAAAAUUGAGAAUUGGAUUUAAAUGAAAGGAUGUUAUUAAUUUUGAGCGUUUUAAGUAAUUUUAAGGACUUAAAUGAAAGUAAAUAAAAAAAAUGGGGGUAAAAGUUUAAAUAAGUAGAAGUGGAAUGAGGCAAAAAGAAACAGAGAACGGAUGGUCCUGAUCGAACUGUAUGAGGAAAUCGAAUGGCUGAGAUUUAAUGGAGAAUGGACGGUCUAGAUCUAGUUAGUGAGAUCCAAUGGUUGGAGAGGAUAGGUAUAAAAAAGAAAAGUUUAGAGUUUCUUUUCAUUUGGGUGGGUAGUCGAGAGGAGGAGAGAAAGAGGUGAGCCGAUUGGGUAAGAGGGACGAAAGGAAACUGUCGUGCACGGGGAAGCCGAGAGGAAGAAAUAAGGAGAGGAAAAGAGAAGGGAGGCCGGAAAAGGAGAGAGGAAGGAGAAAAAAGAAAGAAGAGUGGCCGAAUGAGAAGGAGAAGGGGAGCCGAGAACGGUCACCGCAAGGAAGAUAAGAGAGAGGCAGAGGCGAGAGAGUUGUGGAAGCCGAGCAAAAAGGAAAAAAAAAAGAAGAAUCGACCGAGACAUCAUGCGACGACGGAGACCGAUACAUUAAUAGGUAAGAAGAUUUCAUUUUUUUUCAUUUUUCUUCCCCUAUUCUCUUUCAAUCCUUUUCUAUUUUACAUUAAUCGAUUUGUAGGUUUAAAAAUAAUCAUCCGAAUUUCAAGCAAGCUAGGGAGCCACGGGGUGUCCAAGAGAAAACAACUGGGAGCCAAACCUAGAUUGAAUCGCCCCAUGCCAGAAAGGUAAAGCAUUUGUUUUUGUAUUUUUGGUGGCUGUUGAGCGGCGGGGGAGCAAUGGUCGGGUGUCAAAUUGGCCAGGCGAGCUCAGCCUGGCCACCUACCCGCACGAGAAUUGAGGAAACUUCCAUAGGAGUGGAAAACUGGCCCACCAGUGGAAGCCGAGGGGCCUUCCUCGGGAAUGGAGGCUGGAUUCACCCUUUUGGGAUUCCGAUUCACCAUUCGGGUAAUUGAAAAGUCUUCCUCGAGUAUGGGAAUUUGAUCCGCCAAAUGGAAAGCUGAAAGGUCUUCCUCAGGUACGUAUCCCGAUAUUUUCGAGAUUUUCCAUCAGAUUAUCAUUGAAACCCGUAAAUUCGAUUAGAUUAGUUUUGUUUAGUACUUAAAUUAUAUUAAUUAAUUUGUGUCGUGCGCAUACAGAAAAUUAGGAUGUUUAGGCGGAUCUGGAAAGAUUGUUGCGUAGGAGUGUAAGUAUUUAUGAUUCUGAACCUAGAUUUGGAUUUUGAAAAUUUCAUGUUUUUUAUUAAUUUAUGUGUAUUUUAAAAUUUGAAUCGAUAUUGACCCGAUUUUUAAUGAAGAAUAAAACCUGAAACUAUAAUCAGGGAACCUAAGCUAUUGGAAUUUAUGAAGAGAUGAAACCAGAAACAAACCCAAAGACUGAGGAAUACUUGGACUAUGAUGAGAAAUUGAUUUUAACCUAAAAGAAAAUUACUAGUUAAGUGGAAAGUUGAAAAAGAAAGAAAAUAACAUAAAGAAAUGAAUAAAAAUAAAAGAAUUAAUUAUGAUGGUGAAAUGAUCAAUUUAAAUAAAAUUUCAGAGAAAAUAGAAUGAGAGUAAAAUAAAUGCGAAAUCAGAAAUGAGAGAAUGAGAGUGAUUUAGGGUAUAAACCCUGAAUACCCCUUUUUAUUUAGUCUGAAUCAAAGAGGGGAGUGUGUGUGUGUAGCUGAAGUUCAGUGGGUAUGGUGAAUCUGCAUAUGGAUAGAAUUUGAAAUCUAAUCCAAACAUGGACAGAUGUUUAUGAGUGUGAUCACCUAACAAACGUAUCUGUUACGACCAUUGUGAGAUUCUGUGUGUGGUUGAUAUCCAUGCGAUGGGGGGAUCCAUUUUGUCUCUCCCCAAUGACGACAUAACCAACAUCGCGUGAUGAAACCUUAGAAAAGACAUUUCGAGUAUACAUGUGAUCUUUCGUAUGUAUGUGAUUAUGUGGUCAUAUUUUGAGGCUAUGAUUGACAUUCAAGUGUAUAUAUAUGUUCUUUCGAGAGUAUGUGCAUAUACAUUUGAGGAUUAUAUAUGAUAUUCGAGAGAUUCAGAAAUCUUAUAAGAAACAUAUAAAAUGGUGAAAAUAAAAAAUGAAUUUUACAUUGAAAUAUCACUAUUGUACUUGUCUUAUAUUAUGUGUUUUGCAUUAAAUCUUAUAUAGGUUGAGAGAAUGAAAAUAUUUAUUGAGUUGAUAAAACUCAUUAAAUUUUACUUUUAUAUUUUUCAGAUGAGAAAAAAGAGCCAGAACCGCUGCCAGGCGAGUAGAACCUAUAAAAAGAGUCCCUAUUUGUAUAUUUUGUGCAUAUUCGAGAAAUUUUAGUUUUGUUUUGUUAAACUCUAAAUUUUAAUUUCAUGUUUUGUAUAUAUAACUACUGUAUAUAUAUACACACACACACACAUCUCAAUUAGUAAAUUUAUUGACUGCGUAAACACAUUUCAUAUACGGGUCAUAUCAAGAAACACAUAUUAACAUUUAAUAUGUAAAUAUAAUAAUUAAUCUAAAACAUAUAUAAUUAUUUUUUAAAAAUUAGUAAUCAAUACAUAAUCAUAUUUUCAAUCUAAGUAUAUUAUACGCUUACUAAAUUCUCAAAGUAGUUAAAUAUAUCUUUAAAAAAUAACAUAUAUAUGUAUAUAUAAAUUAACAAUCACCUAUAUAAUAUAAAAUUGAACAACUACAUACCAUAUUCACAAAACAAUAAAAUCAGGAUCCUGUUGAUCAAGUGCAAUUUUGUUCUUCUAAAUAUUUUUGUAUGAACAAGCAAAGGCAUUCAUAUAAUUUAAAUAAUUCCAUAUAAUUAUUAAUUUCAAUUUUAUUUAUAAUAAUUCAAGUUAAUGCAUCAUAUGCUUCACCAAGAAUAUGAACAGAUGGUUACAUAUAUUAAUCUAUUACAAACGUUAUAUAUAUAUAUAUAUAUAUAUAUAUAUAUAUAUAUACAUACAUACAUAGCUGUAUGCCGAUUUUGAAUUGAUUUACACGGCAAAUAGAAAAAAUGUUUUUUUUUUUUCCAAUUUUCUCACAAAAAUUUCUUUUCAAUUAAGCAAGAAUUAUUGGAAACAAUGCAGUCUCAUUCAAAACCCUACAUGAAAUAAUCUCAAGCUAUUCCACAACAUCCUCUAUAUAUACCGACCUUAGCUCUAUAUAUUUUUAUCUCAAGCUGUGCCUCAAUACCUCUACCUUGUUCCUCUCUCCUUCAUUAAACCUUAAACCAUUCGUACAAUCUCCAGCAAGUAUUCAUUAAUGGCUUUACGAGUUGAAGCAAAAAUCAUCAUCAUCACCUUGGUGAUGAUUCUACAAACUAUCGAUUUUCUGGUAAUGUCGCGGACGCUUCAAGACACUCUCAUAGUCGAGAAACAUCAACAAUGGGUGGAAAAACAUGGACGUGUUUAUAAGGACAAUGCGGAAAAAGAAAUGCGUUUUAAGAUAUUUCAGGACAACAUCAAAUAUAUUGAGAAUUCCAAAAUUGCCAGAAAUCAGAGUUAUCAAUUAAGUCUUAAUAAAUUUGCAGACAUGACUAAUGAAGAAUUUUUAGCUUAUUAUACAGGAUUCAAUAUGCCCACAAGGUCUGCAUCAACCACAUUCAAAUACGAUAAUCUAGCUGACGUCCCACUCAGUGUCAACUGGGUUGAGAAAGGAGCUGUUACUGGAGUUAAGAAUCAAAAGCAUUGUGGUAACUAAAAACAUCUCUUAUCUUAUAGCAAAUUUUAAUUUGAUAUUUUAUAGUUUAAAAUUUUUUAAGUCAAGAUUAUUUAUUUAUUUUUUUUACACCCACUAUUUUAUCAUUUAGAUAUUAAUCAAAUUAUUAAUCUGUCUCUUUUAUGAGUGUGUAAUAUAAUUUUUUUUUACUUUUUUAAAUAAAAAAGUAAUGAAUUUAACUAAAAUCUGAAUUAUGAGAUCAUAAAUUAUAAAAAAAUAUUACAAUAUUUCAAAUUAAAAACUUUAAGCACAGUGAUUCAAAUUAAAUUUUGCCCGUAUAAAUGCGUACAUAAUUAUUUAACAUAACCAUAUUUGUUUAUUUGCUUGCAGGAUCUUGUUGGGCAUUUUCAGCAGUGGCAGCAAUUGAAAGUAUCAACCAGAUCAAAAGCGGUAAAUUGGUAUCAUUAUCCGAGCAACAACUGAUAGAUUGUGUAUCGAAAAACCAUGGAUGCUCUGGUGGUUGGAUGGAUUACGCAUUCGAGUACGUGAAAAAUAACGGAAUCACCACCGAAGAAAAUUACGAAUACACAGAAAGCGACAACGGAGUUUGCAACACGAAAACUCCCGUCGUGGAGAUCAUUAAUUAUGAAGAUGUACCAAAAAAUGAUGAGAAAGCAUUACAACAAGCUGUUGCAAAUCAGCCUGUCUCAGUUGGCAUUGAUGCCUACGGAAGUGAUUUUCAGUUUUAUUCAGGUGGGAUUUUUACUGGAAGCUGUGGAAAUUCACUGACUCAUGCAGUAACAAUAGUAGGUUAUGGGAGUGAAAAUGGAAUGGAUUACUGGUUGGUUAAGAAUUCAUGGGGUGAAAAUUGGGGUGAUGCUGGCUACAUGAAAAUUCAAAGAAAUGCUGGUGUGGAAGGAGGACUCUGUGGGAUUGCAAUGGCAGCUUCUUAUCCAGU